This 468-nucleotide ribosomal RNA is filed under the name uncultured bacterium. RNAcentral describes it as "partial 16S ribosomal RNA". The stretch from base 58 to 468 matches the Rfam family "Bacterial small subunit ribosomal RNA", at positions 39 to 507 of the family's 1533-position model. The record is from RNAcentral.
GGGGGGGGGGGGGGGGGGGGGGGGGGCGGGCGGGGGGGACGGGGGGGGCGGGGGGGGGGGGGGUGCUCGGGGGGCGGGCGGGGGAGGGGCGCGUGGGGACCCUGCCCUGGACUUUGGGGGAGCUUCGGGGAACUGGGGCCCGUACCGGAUAGGAGCCCCCGCUGCGUUGUGCGGGUUGGCAAGACUCGGCGGUUGGGGAUGGACUCGCGGCUUAUCAGCUUGUUGGUGGGGUAGUGGCUUACCAAGGCUUUGACGGGUAGCCGGCCUGAGAGGGUGACCGGCCACAUUGGGACUGAGAUACGGCCCAGACUCCUACGGGAGGCAGCAGUGGGGAAUAUUGCACAAUGGGCGGAAGCCUGAUGCAGCAACGCCGCGUGCGGGAUGACGGCCUUCGGGUUGUAAACCGCUUUCGCCUGUGACGAAGCGUGAGUGACGGUAAUGGGUAAAGAAGCACCGGCUAACUACGUG